UAUAGGUAGAGGUUGCGGUAUUUAUUAGUAACUUAUCGGAUGAGGCAAGACUCAAGAGAAGGUAAGAGAAAGGAACUAUCGCCGAAAGAGGAGAAUUACUUGCAGUUCUAAUCUUGGGGAUGCAGAGAAUAUCUGUAUAACUGUCAUCUUUUUAUUAAGAUGGGGCGCUAUCAGU
Molecule: non-coding RNA, 175 nt
Filed under: human gut metagenome
Description: Lysine riboswitch
Rfam family: Lysine riboswitch aptamer
About the family: Riboswitches are metabolite binding domains within certain messenger RNAs that serve as precision sensors for their corresponding targets. Allosteric rearrangement of mRNA structure is mediated by ligand binding, and this results in modulation of gene expression.
Source: RNAcentral